This 329-nucleotide unclassified non-coding RNA is filed under the name uncultured fungus. RNAcentral describes it as "partial contains 18S rRNA, ITS1, 5.8S rRNA, ITS2 and 28S rRNA". The record is from RNAcentral. Lineage: Eukaryota; Fungi.
AAGGAUCAUUAACACGUAUCCAACGUAUCCACCCCUGUGGUCCUGUGCGCGGCUCUAUAUGUAGUGGUAGAAACCAACUUUGUGACCUACGUGGUUGCGAACUGCAAAUUUCACUGAUUCAGAGCACGUUAAUCUGCGUGAUUGAUAUGACUUUCUGAUCAGUUAAAUAUGGUAAUACUAGCUUUCUGUGCGAAGGCAGCUUCAUAUAGCAGACGUUUUAACCAAACCAUUUACCAAAUUGACUAAUUUAGAAAUAAGUACGAUUCGCUCUGCUUUAUUUCGAUAUACGAAACGUAUAACAACUCUUAACAACGGAUAUCUUGGUUCUC